GUUUCAGGGCGGGGUGAGAUUCCCCACUGGCGGUGACGGUGCGUCGUGGCGACGCCCGAAGUCCGCGACCCGCGGGAGCGGUUGACCCGGUGCGAGUCCGGGACCAACGGUAUAGUCCGGAUGGGAGAAA
RNAcentral lists this non-coding RNA (130 nucleotides) under uncultured Olegusella sp. RNAcentral describes it as "FMN riboswitch (RFN element)". It matches the Rfam family "FMN riboswitch aptamer (RFN element)". Rfam says of the family: The RFN element is a highly conserved domain that is found frequently in the 5'-untranslated regions of prokaryotic mRNAs that encode for flavin mononucleotide (FMN) biosynthesis and transport proteins. Lineage: Bacteria; Bacillati; Actinomycetota; Coriobacteriia; Coriobacteriales; Coriobacteriaceae. The record is from RNAcentral.